Molecule: long non-coding RNA, 1251 nt
Organism: Populus trichocarpa (black cottonwood)
Lineage: Eukaryota; Viridiplantae; Streptophyta; Magnoliopsida; Malpighiales; Salicaceae
Exons: 2
Source: RefSeq, a predicted model, not a curated record
GUUAUUAAUACCGACCACAAUCUACAAUCUCGGUCAAGCAAAGUUCGAAACAUAUCAAGACUUUCUCGUAUAGAAUAUUACAAGCUAUAUACUGCGUAAACAUUGAUGACGAGAUCCAUAACCAAUGAGAUAAGGGAACUGUAAAUAACCAUUCCAUGUGAACAUGUAGCUUGGUGAUUAAGCUUUUUAGGAUAUCAGAAUAUGACAGGAAAACCUAGGAUACAAGGUAGUAUAUAUAUCUGCUGUAAGAUUUUAGGAUGACUUUAUUUCUCAGCAAAAUCAGUUGGCUAGACUUGAUGAUUCCUGACAGUAUCAGCAAUAGUCCCUUCUACGGACCUGUACGUCCACCACAAAUUCUGCAAUUCCCUUGAACUCAACUUUACAUCUUCUUCUACUUCAAUGAAACUGUGAUGGCAUAGUCAAUCGAUAAUAUAGCAUUAAAAAACAGAUGAAAACAAAUUUGAGGGUGCAUCAACUAGUGCUUUAAUCAUCUUUCAUUUUCUUGCUACCAACGAGAAUUACCUUCUGGGGUAGUUGUAGCUACGAUACAUGCUCUUCAAGUUGUCCCCUAAUGCAGGAGUUCUAAUCGAAUAUGAUGUGCAUAUGUAUCUUCCUUUUGCUCAUGGUUUUUCAUAUACCAGCAGAAGUGCUUCUGCCACAUCACGUACAUCUACAACAGGAAAAUCUCUGAUCUCUGGCACGAAGAAGGAAGCCAUCUUUAUAGUCUCAGCGGCUGAUAUAAUCCUCUAAUGUUCUGAAGCCGGGGGCCAAAACACCUUAAAGAUUGAUCCCUGGUCUAUAAUUAGCGAUCAAUCAUCUUUAAUUGUAUCAGCUGAAUGUUUUUCUUGCUUUGAGUGAAGUUAGGUUGCACUCGAAUGGAUGUGCUAUGUGACUGUAAGGGCAAUAAUAUUUGCCGAGCUGGUGGAGUUGGUAUAUACAAUCCAGGGCUUUGAGACAUGUUAAGAAUCAACUGACACUAAAUGUGAUAAUUUCUUUUAUAUGCAUUAACUGAAGGAAAAAUGAUUUUAUAUGUCUCUUAUAAUUGUUUGUGAGGAAAAGCUGGAGAUCUGACCCUUUUCUCUUUAACUCCUGUUUCCUGUAGAAUAUCAAACAAGGGAAGGCCUAUAAAGUGAUCAAUCCAAUGUAUCUUUAUCAUUGAUGAGUUCUGAUGGGUGGCAGAUACUGGCAAGUACUAAUUAACAUUGUGUGAGCACCAAUUACUUUUUGCAAUGGAUGGUUUCUUUUUUACUA